GACGAACGCUGGCGGCGCGCUUAAUACAUGCAAGUCGAACGGAAAGGCCUGCUUUCCCUUGUGGAUUGCGGGUACUCGAGUGGCGAACGGGUGAGUAACACGUGAGUGAUCUGCCCCCAACUUGGGUAUAAGCCUGGGAAACUGGGUCUAAUUCCCGAUAGGACUGCAGGGUGGUGCCUGUGGUGGAAAACGAUUUUCUAGUGGUUGGGGAUGAGCUCGCGGCCUAUCAGCUUGUUGGUGGGGUAAUGGCCUACCAAGGCGGCGACGGGUAGCCGGCCUGGGAGGGUGGACGGCCACAUUGGGACUGAGAUACGGCCCAGACUCCUACGGGAGGCAGCAGUGGGGAAUAUUGCACGAUGGGCGGAAGCCUGAUGCAGCGACGCCGCGUGGGGGAUGACGGCCUUCGGGUUGUAAACUCCUUUCGACCGCGAGGAAGCCACCUGGUUGGAAGGGUGGUGACGGUAGUGGUAGAAGAAGCACCGGCUAACUACGUG
Molecule: ribosomal RNA, 494 nt
Filed under: uncultured bacterium
Lineage: Bacteria
Description: partial 16S ribosomal RNA
Rfam family: Bacterial small subunit ribosomal RNA
Source: RNAcentral